This is a long non-coding RNA of Astatotilapia calliptera (eastern happy), 950 nucleotides long. The record is from Ensembl. NCBI's taxonomy places the organism in Eukaryota, Metazoa, Chordata, Actinopteri, Cichliformes, Cichlidae.
GAUCGAGAACAAGAAAGAAGUGAGACAGAGAAGCACGAUGGAUGAAUUCAGAUGGAUUCAAAUGUUUUCAUGUCUGAUGCUCAUGAUUCAGAUCGCAGUAUCUGUAACUGAAGCCUCCAUGUUUAUGAAAGUUGGAGAUGACGUCACUCUGCCUUGUCUGAAUGUGAUAGAUGAGCAGAAUAACUGUGAUGGGACUACGUGGACCUUUGUUUCAAGAAACAAACCAACAACAGUAGAGCUGAUCACACUUGGACAGAUUGGUGAAAAAGCCAAAACUCAAUCAGACAGACUGAGAGUUACAGUGAACUGUUCUCUGCUCAUAAAGAAGCUCACAGUCGAGGAUGUUGGUUUUUAUUACUGUCAACAAUACGAAGUCAAAGAAACACCAUCUAAACACACUCAGGUUCAUCAGUCUUUGGCUCGUCUCUCUGUUAUUACCUUGACUGAACAUAAGGACACUGAUACGGUGACGUUAAGCUGCUCUGUGCUGACAUAUGAACAGUGUCAUCACACAGUGAAGUGGCUGCUUACAGGUCGAGAUGUGGACAAAGAGAACAAAGAAAUAGUGACUUCACAGACUCACUGCGCUGCCACUGUGUCUUUUCUGAAGAAUAAUUAUUUAUACUCAUCACGUCAUAAAAUAUUGAAAUGUGAAGUGACUGACACUAACACAAGAAGAGUGCAGCUGUUUACUUUCGACCGUCAGCCAUCAGGUGACACAAAAACAACAAAGAAUCCAGCCAGAAAAACUGAAACAACCACAACAAUUAAGACGCUUCUAAAAUCAGAUGAUACAACAGCAAAAACUGUGGAAAGUGAAAACACGACACCAAACAACAAAUCAUCUGCAGAUUCACAACAUGCGAUCCAGUGGUUCAUCAUUCCAGCUGUGGGCUUCGUCUCACUCUUGAUAGUUGUUUUGUUUUUCAUCAGAUGGAAGAGAACUAGAG